Long non-coding RNA from Carassius gibelio (silver crucian carp), 508 nucleotides. RefSeq lists it as uncharacterized. The record is from RefSeq and is a predicted model, not a curated record. Lineage: Eukaryota; Metazoa; Chordata; Actinopteri; Cypriniformes; Cyprinidae. The transcript is spliced from 3 exons.
AGGUGAAGGAUUAGUGGUUCUUCACCACAGGACUGUUCUGUGAUGGAGCAUCAGUGAUGAUGCAGGUCAGGAGUAAUGAGGGGACCAUGGUGAGAAUGAAAACAAAAGCCUCAAUCCUCAACCUCAGCCGUAUAAAUCUUUUGGAGAUUUUUCCUUCUACUCCAAAGCAUGAUGGAAGCCUGCUGGAGAGUGACUGAGCUUCUUUCUCCAACACAUCCACUGCAUUGGGGAGCUCCAUGAGGAUUGUUAUCUGUUUGCCGUGUUGCAGUUUUGCAUUUUCCACAGAUGCUGGCAAAUCGGAUUAAUUUGUGGACAAUGUAGCCUGCGAGAUGGAAGAGAAUACAUUUCUCUGUUUUUGUGAGGUCAGGUGCUGUUCUGUUCUCCACCAUCAGCUGUUCCACUCUGACUGAUGGAGUGACGUUUUGUUUCACUGUUUCCAGGAAGUCUGCCAAAAAGCUACUGUCAUCUUCCUGGUAGCUCCCAGACGUGAUGGUGGUGAGGAACUGCC